This 27-nucleotide non-coding RNA is filed under the name Rattus norvegicus (Norway rat). Lineage: Eukaryota; Metazoa; Chordata; Mammalia; Rodentia; Muridae. The record is from RNAcentral.
UUCCACAAACAAGACCCCACCAGGUUC